GUUCAAGUGCCAGGAAAUUGUGAUGCUGGGUGUGACGGUCAGGUGUCCACAGACUUUUGGCCAUAUAGUGUUCUUGUUACAAGCUCUGUCUCUUGUCACCUGUUCUUGCAGACAUUGAUGGAAACAUUGUUGUAUACUACAGGUUCACCACUGAGGUAUCUUUAAGUAGCCUACAUCUACUCUAGCCUGCUAAUGUGAAAUUUCAGAAAAGUAAAUGUAUUUAAAACUAAAUUGUGGUCAUUUAGAUAAGCUUUAGGAGAUAGUAAAGUAGAAAUCCAGUUUAUUCCAACAGGUCCACAAGCUUUUUUUCCCCCCACUCACAAUUGUAUACUGUACAUUUGCACAGAUUUAGCCUUUUUAUGUUACUUUUGUUUUAUGCUCAUUAUUUUAGUUUUGCAGUGUUAUAGUUAAGAUAUUGAUUGUUGAUCAUGUUGUACAAUAUACAUGCAGGCAUUUGGUGUCCAAAAAAAAACACCUUUAUUUUUGAAAAUUACUAAAUGAAUGAAUUAGUUAUUUUUCUAUAAGGUCCAACAAAUUCUUUAUAGGACGGAUUUCUGUUUUCUCUUAUACCAUCUUCAUGGCAGUGAAAUAACCUUUUCUGAGAAAUCAGUGACUCACAGAGUAGGCAUCUAUUUUAACUCCCUGUAAUGUGGUGUCGCUUAGUUAGCUUAUUUUUCUGAGUUCCUUUUUCCUUGGGGUUUCUCUGAAUCACCUUUACUAUGCGAAUGAUAAACUUAUCCUCAUUCUACAGACCUUAACACAAACACCUAGCUACAUAUUUAGGGUGGCCUAUUGAGCUAUGGUUUUGCACACAGAUGAUGAAAUAGGACAUUCACCAUCAAAGUCCACUGUGAGGUAUUUAUGGAGAAUAAUUUUCCUCCAUCUGAAAUGCGGAAAAAAGGAGUCUUGUUUUCAGGUUGUUUGCUAUGGUCGACUUGUCCUUAGGUGAAGAAGAACGAGCUAAGUCUUCUGUGUCCUGCUUCCUAACCUCAGAGUUAACCCCAGACUCCGUCUGCCCCCACGCUGCACAACUUAAAUAGGGACAGUAUGGGGCUUAUGGCAGAACCUAGGAUAGAGAGAGAGAGAGAGAGAGAGAGAGAAAGAGUGUGUGUGUGUGUGUGUGUGUGUGUGGAAGUGGCAAGGCAGUGAUUAAUGCUGUUUAUGGUGAUUUAAUGUGUUUAUGAGAACGGUAUUCUGAACAGUUUGGCUAAACCAUAAUUGUCUGAUUAAGCACUUAUAACGUAGCACUGACUCAAUGACAGUGUGCAGUAAAAUGACAGUCAACAAUUUAAACAGUUCCUUCCCCUUAAAAGAAGCGUUGACUGACUGUAAUGGCAUACUAAGAAGUAUUCAAAACCACUUCACUUUGAUAUCUUUAGUAUUUACUGUGAGUACUGCCUUCCUGAAAGUGACGUAACCUUUUUUUUUUUUUGAAUCAUCAAUCAUAGUAUGCUACUUUUACAUUUGCCAGAGAAAUUAUAGAGCUUACUUGGAAUACAAUUUUUAAAGGUCGCUUUAAUAGGACUACUGUUCCUUAAACUUAGGUAUUCUUUUUUAAAACAUCAAAGUAAUAAUACUUUGAUGUGAAUAUCAUUUUGUGUACUUUAUUCACCCGUGCAAAAAGGCGAGGUCGGUUGAAACAGUGUCACAGCAGUGUGUGACCUUGAUUCUUUCCUUGCGUUAUCUCCAAAUAUCCGGUGUUCACUGACCACUUGCGAUGGAAGCAUUUUUUUGGUAUAAAAUUUUUCAUAGAACAAACAUUUGACUCCUUCUAGUUUUUAACCAUCCAUCUAAAUAGCAUGUACUUAUAUGGAAUUUAUGGAACAUGUACUUAUAUGUACUUACUUGUAAAUAUAAUACGUAUACUUUAUUUUAAAGAGUUAGACAAAUGAUCUUAUGCCAUGAUCAUAUGAUAGAUAGAUAGAUAGAUAGAUAGAUAGAUAGAUAGAUAGAUAGAUAGAUAGAUAGAUAGAUAGGUAAGGAAGUAGGUGUACUUUAUUAAAGGGAAAAGUCGUGAAAUGAUUGAGCAAUAUACCAAAACUUUAGUCAGUUUCUGUUUGCUUGAAAUUGAAUGUUUGCCAUGAGUAGGAAUAGAUUCCCAGGAACAACUCUUGCUGUAAAUAUCAAUAUUGACCCUUGUGGUAAUUAUAACUCCCUCAACAUGACUCACCCCAGUGGGGCAUACAGCAAACAGCAAACUUUUCUGAUUUGGAUUACCUGAUCAAGGUAGGGUGAAAUUUAAUUUUGCUAACUUCAAUAUUUAUCUGUUACCACUGCACUGCUGACCUUUGCUGUGCUCCUGGUUUGCCCUAAUACACUGAAAUGAGUUUAAUGAACUAUUACUCAGCAAGCGCUGCAGUUUACAUUAAUGGUAAUGGUAACUGCAGAAUAUGCAAAAAGUGUUUUUAAUAUCUGCCUACUUCCGUCUAAGAACCAAUUUGCUUGUAGAUAUGACAUUGUGUCAUGAUGAAAAAGCCUGUGUACAGGAGCAGCAUGUCCUUUCGGUUCUCUCCCUUUCUGCCUUGUCAAUCAAUGAGGGGAAAAAAGUAGUUAAAUCUCUCUGUUAGCCAUACAUGUAAUUACAGCUUGCCAAACUGUUACUAAAUAUGCUCUCACUGGGUUUCUGGUUUUGUUUUUUCCUCCCCUUUCCCCUUUUGAAGGAGUUCUAAUUGGUGGAGACAGUGUGUCAGGAUUAGAGGCUGGGUGUCUUAAACCCCAACACCCCCCAAAACCACAUGUCCCCCCCCCAGGCUCUGCGCUGUACUGCAGUUUUUGUGUAGACUUUGCAGAUCUGUGUUUACUGUGGUCUGACUUUCAGCACCUCUGCACUGUUCCCAUAAUGACACCUACAAACCCCUCUUCCUAAACACGGCUGCAAAUAUAUUCCCACACACAGUAUGGGUUGGGAUACGGGUGGACAAUCUGGCUGCACUUUAUUAAACCUGACUUCUUUGUUGGCUAGCCUUUCAGCUCAGUCCGGAAGAGCAGUUCCCUUUAAGCUGUUUAUCAUACAGUAUGCGCAAGUUAUACUUUAACCAAUUAUGAUAAUUAGAACAAAAGCAAAAAAGGUGAAUGUGAACAGGAUUGUUCUUGUGUGCUGUACAGAAAUGCAAAUAUAAUGUAGGGAAUUCAACACAUUCACAGAAUUUUCAAUUGGCAUUAUGGGAGACUACAAAAUGAACCAUGACUGAUCCAGUACGUCUAACAAUGUUCUGUUUAAAUUCUGAAAGCCCUGUAUAUGACCAUUACAACAAGAUCUAAUCAUGUUUACCAUAGUAAAAACCCAAAACUGACCACCUUAUUUGUAUGUCAGCUCCCAUGGUAGCACCCUCCUGCUCUGAUGCUGUAUAGAACAGAUCUGGAGGUGUAAGACAGGUGUAUGAGUGCAAUCAAUCAGCUUCUAUCGUCACCUCGUCUUGCCAGCGCUGUCGACUCUGCGUCCACUCCAUUGACGGUGCUGUACUCCCGGUGCACCUCAGCCGUCUCCACUCCACACACUUCCUGUCUCAGCAGCACGGCUUAAGCAAACACAGCACACAAAAGCCCCACAGUGCCACAGCCUGCGAGCCAAACGUGUAACACUGUUAAAGCCCCGGUUCAAGCAACUGUCAGAGUUGCUCUGCCAAGGCCUCAUGGGAUGUGUUUGUGUUCAGUUUUGAUUAACUUUUUAUACACCUUUUUAUUAACUUGAAGUCAUACACAAGAUGUAAACGGACAUGGUGUGUUGGAGGAAAGAGAGAGCAGGAUUCACAUAGUACCCAAGGGCACACAAUAUAUCAUUACACUCUAUUGUCCCUCAGUGUACUCUAUGACCAGCAGCAUAUCUCUAACAGACAUGUACUUGGACCACUUGUUUGGUUUCAUGUUCAAUGAAAUCGAAUUGAAAUAGAAACAAAUGAGCAAUCAGUUGAAUCUUUGGGAGUAACCUGCAGCAAUUGUGCGCCCACACAAUAAAUAUAUGAAUUUUUUUUAAAAAAAGCACGGCCAUGUAUGCCCAUGCCUGCUGCCUGACAAGGCUGACCCCCUGCUGGGAGCAUGGAGCCACGUUUCUGUGUAAGGGCAGACUGAAUUUCCUACAUCCACCUACCAGGCUGCUCAAUAGUACAACCUCGGAUUAAUCAUUUGGCCUAGGUCACAGUAGCAACACGGGACACAGAGUUCAUACAUGUUAAGCAGAAGUAUCUUAAAGGUCAAUCCUUGCUUUUAAAUAUAUAAAAUAUUUGAUAUAUUCUGCAGCCUGUGUCUUAUCUACAUAAUGUGCCAAUACAAGCUCAUAGUAUAUGCAUUUAGAGUUUUAAGGUAUACAGAUCUCUAAUAGCUUGUUUACAGUUGCUGUAAUUUUCCAUAAUGGCACUGCUGUACAGUAUGGCUGUUACGCUAAGACAGCUUCGGUAUCAUAUCAACUGAGUACUAAUUAACCCGGCUUUGGCUGCCUGUUCAAGGGAAAUGGGGGCAACGCAGCAUCACACUUGAGUUAUGUCGCUUUUUUGUUUGCUUUUUUCAUGACUGUGUUGCAACAGAGUUCAAUUGACCUGGAGCUGUGAAAGGAUCCGGGAAUAAAAGGCUAAAGGAGACCAAUCUAUUUACCUCCUUCUCUUUCUCUCGUUCUCUCACUCACUCUCCUUUCGCCUCUCGCCGCUUCCCCUUUAUUCCUCAGGUAAAACAUUUACAGACACUCAGUCAAUAAAUGUUCAAGCUGUUCUGUGAUGUGAACUUGUGCAGGUAAUGCAAAACCUGUCCAUUCUGGAGUUGUAAGACAGCUCAGACUAAAUCUUAAGAUCAACUCUCUCUCUGCUUUUUUUUUUUUUUUUUUUUAACGCAGGUUUGGUGAUUUUUGUGGGAUGAGGGAUCUUUGUUUAGCCUGUCAAAUAAAACCUUCAGUUUAAAUAAACAAAACAUUGAACUUGUCAAAUAAAAACCACCAACUUGUUUGAUUUUGGAACAACCAUUUAGGUCCCAGAGGGUUGACCUUUCAGUGGUUUCACCCAGAAUCUGUACAUGAAUGCUUCAUGUGCAACCUUUUUUUGGCAGGAAUAUGUCAAAUAAACAUUUAGACAUGAAAAAACAUGAAGACAUGCCAAAAUAAAGUUGGACUUGGUUGGUCAGCAGUUCGUAAGCUUUGUUAAUAUAAAUAAAAUGUGUAUUGUGUCUCUCGUUGUAUUACAAUCUAAAUGACACAGGCGCUAACAAGUCAAAGAAUAGAUCUGAACAGUGCUACACAGUUUAUUGCACCAAGAAAACACACCUUUGAGUCUGGAUCACUCCAGCACAGCUGGGCAUUGAGCCGAUGUGAGUUCCUAUCACAUCUGGCCUUACAGAGCACAAUGUUUUCUCCCAUUCUUCAUCCAUCUCUCUGUCUCUCUCUCCCUCACACACACACACACACACACUCUCAUGCACUGUUCUAGCAAAGUCCAUUACUACUCUAAAAAUAUCAAGAACUGCAAAUGCAAAUAAUUAUAUAAAAGCUCAUGAGCGCAAAUAUAUAAAUAUAAAGUACAUAAUGAAUUUAUUGAUAUUUGCUUUUUCAGAGCUGAGGGAGUGGCGGAGCAGUGGCGCACCAGAGCGGCCCUGGUGCUCUUUAAAGUGGUGCUCUGGGCUGUGGGAAUGUACGCUUUUGGGUCGUGGCACUGAGCGAUGGUGAGCAAGCCUGGCUUUCACUCACACAACAUCCCUGAUCGCUCCGCUUGGCUGUUCAGGCUAUACCUUUCAUUUUAAGAGCUUUCCAUAACAUGCCAGCCACCAUAUUAAGUGUCAGGAUAUUUCUGCCUUUCCUCUCUCUGGCUCUCUUUCCAUCUCUCUUUCUCUCUCUCUCGCUCGCUCUCUCAUUUAUUUUGUCCCUUUUUCUCUCUUCCUGUACUUCUUAUUCUUUUUCUCUUCAUUUAAAGAAGUCUAAUUUAUGUCCAGGAAAGGCUGUUAUGAAGAGAUAGUGUAUAUGUUGAUUAAAGCUUAGGAGACAAUGGCAUUAGUCAUUAUUAUUUCCACUGAUUAGGAAGUCAAUCCGAUGAAUUCUGCUCUUCUGAAGUAGCGUGAUUGAGUGCCAGCUGUUGACAUGUCGACUCCAAGAUCAGAGGGCAGUGUUUUGGUUUUGGUGCAUCUGGACGCUGGUCUCUGAUUGCACUUGUCUGCUUUAAAUCACUAUUGAUGACAAAUUUGAGCUGAGGUGGGGUCUUUAGCACACGCUAGCUUGGUCAGGCAGCAGCUCCCGGUUUUCGGCGGCUGUGUGGGAGUUGCCAUUAUUACUUCCUUCAGAUUUUAAUCUUUUGUUAACAUGAAGUUUGUUCAAUGAGUCCACUUCAAUUUCCUUCCUAGUCUGGAUUUCAACUUUCAAUUGUGAGUACACACUGGAACCCUCCACCCAUGUCUAUAUGUGGAAAUAAAGCUCAAAUUUAAAAAAAAAAGUAGAUAUCUUUAGAUGUACGGGAACUUAGUAAAUUGUCUGUCACGUGACCCUAUCGCUUAUGAGCUGAUUAUUUAGGUAUUACAUGCUCGAGAUUUAAACUGGUGACUGUCAUGUGUUUCAAGUAGUUUGCAAAGUGAAUGAGUGAUAAUGUGCUUUUCAUUAAACCUAACUCACUGACUAUAACUCUGCUCGGAUUGAAAUCUAUAAACCAAAGCAGUAGAGUAAAUAUAACCUUACUGUAAACAUCCUGUUCGGUAUAAUCGCCAUGGCGCAGCUCCUUGACCUGUAGCUGCGCUCAACCAGGCCUUCUUUUCUCACCUCUGCAGUCUACACAAACUGAAAGAGCUUUGGACUAAUUUAAACACAACACAUAUCUGUAAGUUAAGGUACAAAUACAGUACACACACAAAUCGUGAUGACAGAAAAGCUAUCAGCAAUAAAUCAGACUGUGGCUUCUGAAUGAUAUAACUAACUCCAGUCAGUGUGCUGCUUUUAAGAACUUUUUCUUCAAGCAUUCCCCUUGAUGAUAUGUGAGCCUGCAUUCAUUGCAGUGCGGUAUUUUUGUCCAUUAUGGUGCUAGGUGAGCACGUUUGUGGUGUGGCCAUGUUUACCUGUGGUCAGAUCGGCUAUACUGCCCUGCUGUGAGCCUUCGUCUACAUAUAGGUGAGAAAGGGAGUGAGGGGACCUGAAAACAGAUGCGGAAAAAGUUAAAAUUAGAAGAAAAGGCCCUACUAUUUUUCAGUGCUACAGCCAUAAACAAAAUGCCAGUCGGAAUGACCAGGGCGUUCAUUCACUAAUUUAAUUGGGUUUCUAAAUUCUGAACCUCACAUAAAGCAAGGCAUGUAAAUAAAAAAAAUAAAAGACAUUUGCGUAUGACUUCAUCAUUCAGGUACAGACUCGUCUGAUAAAUCGUCUGUCCCUCUCCAGGUGUCAGUCACAUUAAAUCAUCCCAUGUGCUAAUUGUUUUGAACCUCUUGCAGACUGAUGCGACAAAAAAGAGAGAAGCAAGAGAGAAAAGGAGAGAAUGGGUCCUGCGUGUCCAUGUUGUAUGGGUUUGUCUCGUGAUCCUCUGCGGGAUGCCGCUGUCACCCCGGCUGUGGCUAGCUGCUCUGCUGCUGCUGCAGGCUUCAAAGAGUGCAAGCCUGCCCACAGCCCUAAUUAGAGGGUCCCUGCCCAGAGCUGGGGACAAGCUAGCGGAAAGUGUGCGCAAGUGCACACACCACGCUUCGCUAGCAGCAAGCCGACAUGGGCCGGGGAUGAAGGGAGGAGUAGCAACCUCAUCACAUCUGUCCCAUGAUUCCUCUGCUUUACUCUCUUUAUCCACAAACACACUUUUCUCACUUCCUGUUUUAUUCUCUCAUCCUCUCAUUCCUGUCUCUUUCCCUGUAUUUUCUGUGUAAACACUGUUCAGGGAAAAGGAAGCAUUAAAGAAAUGUCUUGGUUUGAGAAAGAUGACCAGCAGCUAGCAGGAAAUUACUUGUAGCGUUCAUGUUAUAGCUUCUAUUCAAGUACGUGUGCGAAACAACCCAAGACAGCUGCUGUGGAGAUGGAUAUGGAGAAACAUGUGCUGCCCAAAACCCCAAACCCAAAUGAAAAAACAAUCACUAUGCUUCAGUAAUCACCAUGACAACUCAUCCUCAUCCCUCUCUUUCCAUUAUCGUCUCCUUCCUUUUUCGCUCCAUAAGCAGACAUUGUAUACUAACGCUGUUUAUGUUAACGCUAGCCCAUCAUUGUUUAUGUUACCUGAGGUUUUAACUGUUUUGACCAUAUUGUUACAGCCUAGUUAAAGGAAACGGGCUGUUAGCCAGCACACAGCUGGCAGGGCCAGCGGCGGUGUAGUAAAAUAUAAAUAUAAUAAGAACGUUUUUGAGCUGGUGUAUCCAUUCUGAGCAGUGAAACAUCACCACAAUGACCACAGCUGUGGCAUACGUGCAGGAACGAAAAAAAAGGCCAGGCCUCAGGAGCUUGAGAGAGGGAGCCAGCAGGAGCAAGGAGCAGGCAAAGAUGUGCAGCAUGCGCUUCUACUGCAUAUUUAAUGCUGGAGUCAGCAUAUUUGUCCUAAACACUAGUAGCAUCCUCUCACGUUCAUCAUCAACUUCACAGACAUGCUCAUGAUUCUUCCUGUUUUGACUUUAAACGACUUAUUGUUUCUGUACAUUUAUGUUUUCCCCUCACAUUGUGAAGGGCCCUAUUUCUAGUGUGGUGCAAUAACAGUUUUGAAGACUAAAGCUGAAAUGAAAUGCUGACAGUCCAGUACCUAACUGCUCUUCCUAAUAACAGUCUUAUAUUUAGCUGAGAGGACUUAGGCCAAUGGAGAUCAGGGAGGAUUUUGGGUAACCAGGAAAAAGGAAAAAAAGUGAAGGUGGUUCUGAAGGUAUAGCAACAGAAAGAGAAAGCGAGGGGGCAGCUUCCACAGGCUGCCAUUGAUGCAUUGAGUUAUUCAGGGCUCUGGACUUUGGGCCUCAAUUACAGCUAUUUGGCAGGAGCACUUACGCAGAGAGACGCGGCUGUGGCAAGUCCGGACCACGCUGCCCGACCCUUCGCUCUUCCCCUGGGCAGUGCUUUGUUUUUUUAGCAGGCCGCUAGCUCAGGCCGCUUUUAGCCUCUGCUUUUAGACAUCUCUGGUAUUAUUUUUUCCUUGCUUGCUCCAACGAUGGCCUCAGCCGUUCAGGGAGCCCAAGUGCUUGGAGAGGGAAUAAAAUGAUCAGUCACUGACAGUGUACUUCCUGUAUGCAUAAAUUCUAUGACAUAUGUCUCAUCUCUUCGUUUUCUUCCAAGAAAACCUCCAACCUCUGCUGAUUUCAUUAUGGAUCUGGAUUAACUGAUGCAGAAUGACUGCUGAAAAGUUUGCGAUUGAGGCGAAAAUUUGCGAUUGAAGAGACAAGGAAAGACAGAAUGUGUGUGUGUGUGUGUGUGUGUGUGUGUGUGUGUGUGUGUGAGAGAGAGAGAGAGAGAGAGAGAGAGAGAGAGAGAGAGAGAGAGAGAGAGAGAGAGAGAGGACUUCUCCAUAAGGCUGUUGCGGACAGCAGGAAGUGGUGAGGGGAAAAAACUGCAACUAUUACCUUGAGGAGAACAAAAGGCCGACACUGAAACACCGAAUCCCACCACAAUCCACAAGAACGCCAGUCCUGCAGUAUAAAAACAACUAAAAACAGAGUUGUUUACCAUUUAAUACCAGAAAAACACCAAUUUGCCUAUGCUCUCUCUCUCUCUCUACCUCUCUUUUUUCCUCCUUCGCUUCCCAUAUCCCUCUCUCCCGUAUAUCUUUUGAGGUUUAAGUCCUUGGUUAGCUCUAGUACUCAUGUGACAGCCCUUCACUUACUUUACUGCCAGUGAUUGGCUGGUAUUAUGUCAAAAGCACCCAUCUCCCCCUAGUUUAUCCCUCCUGUCCUCUCAUUUCACAAGAGAAAAUUAAUAACUCCGCUACAUCAAUGGUCUUGGGCUGUGAUCUACACUGCUGCUCUCGCUCGCCUCAUGCUCAGCAGCCACUGCAGCACUCAUAGCCAUUCAGGUUGUGGGCUCUCCUCCUGAGGGUGGAAAGUAAUUCUGAGUGGAUAUGAAUACAUCUGAAGUAUCUGAAGUAAUGUCAACUCUCUAGUUCAAUAGGCAGGCCUUGAGUUAAUGUUCUUAAAUGUACUUCCUCUAAAGAGACAAGGACACAGUCCAUAGGAUCCGCACACUCUGUAAUUGGGUCUCUGUGACCUACAGUUUUAUCUGCCAUACAAGUACAUCCGUAUGUUCCAUAUGUACAUAAAUCCAAAAUCUGCUUUCAAUUCACCCAAGCCUCCCUCACACAUAUAUUUAUUACAAGUGUAGUGCUGCAUCUUCUCCUACCUUUCUAAGUAAUAGAAAAUGGGUAUUUAAACUCAAAAUCAGUUCCAUUCCUUGAAGGAUCAAUGUAUUAUAAGUGAUCAAAAGCAUGAAGGCAUUGGUGAAAGAGUGAAUGAGAAUGAGAUAGCAGUCAUUUUGGUGAAAGAGUGAAUGAGAACAAGAUACCAGUCUUUUUUGGUGAAAGAGUCAAUGAGAAUGAGAUAGCAGUCAUUUUUAGUGAAAGAGUGAAUGAGAAUGAGAUACCAGUCUUUUUUGUGGAAGAGUGAAUGAGAAUGAGAUAGCAGUCAUUUUUAGUGAAAGAGUGAAUGAGAAUGAGAUAACAGUCUUUUUUUGUGGAAGAGUGAAUGAGAAUGAGAUAGCAUCUUUUUUGGUGGAAGAGUGAAUGAGAAACCAGUCUUUUUUUGUGAAAGAGUGAAUGAGAAUGAGAUAGCAGUCAUUUUGGUGAAAGAGUGAAGGAGAAUGAGAUAGCAGUCAUUUUGGUGAAAGAGUGAAUGAGAAUGAGAUAGCAGUCUUUUUGGUGAAAGAUGAAUAAGACUUAUAUGCCAGUCUUUUUUGGCGAAAGAGUAAAGGAGAAUGAGAUAGCAGUCAUUUUUGGUGAAAGCGUGAGUGAGAAUGAGAUAGCAGUCAUUUUUGGUGAAAGGGUGAAUGAGAAUGAGAUAGCAGUCUUUUGGUGAAAGAGUGAAUGAGAAUGAGAUAGCAGUCAUUUUUGGUGAAAGGGUGAAUGAGAUAGCAGUCUUUUGGUGAAAGAGUGAAUGAGAAUGAGAUGGCAGUGCUUGAUUUUGCUCUUUACUUCUCUGUCCCACAUGAGGACAGACAGACUUAAACAGAAUUAAAAUAUCGUAUUAUAAAAUACUCCCCUGAACCAAAAUACUUCAUCCACACAAAUAAUAAAAAAUAUAAAUUAACGCCAGACCGCAUACGUUGGUAAAUUU
Long non-coding RNA from Ictalurus punctatus (channel catfish), 11166 nucleotides. NCBI's taxonomy places the organism in Eukaryota, Metazoa, Chordata, Actinopteri, Siluriformes, Ictaluridae. The record is from Ensembl.